RNAcentral lists this small RNA (565 nucleotides) under Pan troglodytes (chimpanzee). RNAcentral's name for it is "processed transcript". Lineage: Eukaryota; Metazoa; Chordata; Mammalia; Primates; Hominidae. The record is from RNAcentral.
UCUCAGAGGAAAUGUGUAAAAUCAAAUUCUACUACAUAAUUUUAUAUGUUGAAUUAGAAUCAUGUUAAUGAAUUAUUUGCUACUUUUGAUUUUAGAAUAACCUAUUUAAGAAAACCAAGUAAAUAAGUGAUUGUUUGAUUUUGUAUGAUUGCUUUUAUACAAAUUAAAUGUAUUUAUCUUUGCAUUUGUGACUGAUUUUCUUUUUCUAAACACUUUUUUUUAUAACUAUUUUAUGUAUUCUGUUUUAUAACAAGUGGAUAGACUUUACAGUUUUGUGCUGUGCGGCCUGUCAAUCAGUUCAGUGACAGCUGUCAAUCACUGACACGCAAAGUGUUAUGGGAUUCCCUAGUGAGGAAAGAAUUGGUAUCUCUGUGUGGUGACUUUAGCCUCCCGAGUUCCGAUUAAAUCGGAUUUCUUUGAACUAUUAUCUAAUCAUCACUUGGACAGUCAGUCUCGAUGGAGCAAAGUAAAAGACAAAGUAGAAAGUGAUCCACGUUACAAAGCAGUAGAUAGUUCAUCAAUGAGAGAAGACCUUUUCAAACAGUACAUUGAAAAAAUAGCCAAG